RNAcentral lists this long non-coding RNA (450 nucleotides) under Cricetulus griseus (Chinese hamster). RNAcentral's name for it is "lncRNA (ENSCGRG00015032334.1)". Lineage: Eukaryota; Metazoa; Chordata; Mammalia; Rodentia; Cricetidae. The record is from RNAcentral.
GCCUGCUUCCAGUGACUGUGAUUCAGCCUGAAGAACGACCGCUUUUGACGGGAACUCGGCUUGUGAGUCCUGGGAUUCCCGACUUCCCUUUGGCUUCGGAUGCCAGCACUAUCGACUUCCGGUCCGAUCUCAGAGACCGCCGAACCAGCAGCGCUACGGCCACAGGUCUUCCAGUUCCGGAAAGGCUCCGCGAGCACCGCCGCGAAUCCCGCGUGAGAAACGCACGGCUCCCCGCUUCUGGUGCGUUACCAAAUCCUUCUGGGAGGGGAGGGGGGGCGGCACUGGGGUCGGAAACCUCGGUUCCGCUUCCACCGCGACUCAUUUACCGCUCCUGAGACUCACACUUCCAGCCUGUGCCCUGAGCUUCCCGUCCGUCCCCGCAACAGCGCUGCGCAGCAACAAGGUUCCACUCCCGACCGGCACCCGGAAACGGUCUGUGCAGAGAUGGGG